GAUGAACGCUGGCGGCGUGCCUAAUACAUGCAAGUCGAGCGAACGGACGAGAAGCUUGCUUCUCUGAUGUUAGCGGCGGACGGGUGAGUAACACGUGGAUAACCUACCUAUAAGACUGGGAUAACUUCGGGAAACCGGAGCUAAUACCGGAUAAUAUUUUGAACCGCAUGGUUCAAAAGUGAAAGACGGUCUUGCUGUCACUUAUAGAUGGAUCCGCGCUGCAUUAGCUAGUUGGUAAGGUAACGGCUUACCAAGGCAACGAUGCAUAGCCGACCUGAGAGGGCGAAAGGCGACAUGGGGAAUGCGACAAGGAGGAGAGUAAGACGGGAGGACGAAGGGGGGAAUAGGGCGCAAGGGGGGGAAGCCUGAAGUAUCAGUGAGGAGGGAGGAAUAAAGGUAUACGUAUCUGAAAACACUGAGACUAGACAAAAACAAAGGGGGAAGUAACGAUGCAUGCCGGGCGGGGAGGUAAUAAGAGAGCCACGACGCACUAAAAG
RNAcentral lists this ribosomal RNA (497 nucleotides) under uncultured bacterium. Its description in RNAcentral is "partial 16S ribosomal RNA". The stretch from base 16 to 379 matches the Rfam family "Bacterial small subunit ribosomal RNA", at positions 43 to 396 of the family's 1533-position model. The record is from RNAcentral.